AUCCAUGGCCAUACCGCAUUGUACACACCCGAUCUCAUCUGAUCUUGGACAAUAAGCAGGAUCGGGCCUGGUUGGUACUUAGAUGGGAGACUGAAAGUUGAAAUAAUUAUCCAGGUGCAUUGCGUU
RNAcentral lists this ribosomal RNA (126 nucleotides) under Oryctolagus cuniculus (rabbit). Lineage: Eukaryota; Metazoa; Chordata; Mammalia; Lagomorpha; Leporidae. The record is from RNAcentral.